CUAAGAGUGGAGCGUAAUUUCCGCCUGGUCUUAAAUGUUUUUAAUUAGGCCUAGAUCGCUUUCAGGAAGCAAAGAGACAAACAAACUGACAUCAGUUUUGUUAGAAAUACACACAUUACACUACUCACUGAAUUCCGCCCAAUUUAGUCGCUAAUUUAACUAAGAGUUUGAAGAGUUUUUCAUAAACCUUUCCUGUAAUGAAAUGCUACGGAUCAAAGAUAGUAAUCAAACAAUAGAGUCCUUAGACGUGGGUCGUGAGCAUAAAAUAGAGUGUUUAUUUGCAAGCAAUCCGUGGCGUUUGCCGUACAUUCCAACAUAUCUAUCAAAUCCCCUCAGUGACCAAUGACCCUAAUUGAUUUGUUUAGCAAAGCUUUGUUCUAAAAUUAAUUUAAGCGUGGGGUUUCGAGUACCAAUAACCAUACCCCGGAGACAGUUCACCGGAGACAUUGUCUCUUAAAUUGACAUGUCCACCGAGCCUCUUUACGUGGCCACUUCAAAAGAAGUCAUUAGGUUCUCGUUAUAAAUCUCUUGUUCGCUAGUUUCUCAUUACAUUUCCAAUUAGAACAACGAGUCGCUAAUCACAGAGCCUUCAUCUCAAACUUUGGCCGCACAAAUCAGAACAUCUGCUCAAAAUGGUUUCAAAAACUGUUUCUUACCUUUUGAUGUGUAUCGUGGCACUCACUGGAAUUACUAAAGUCCGUAGCCAUCCAAUGAUGGAGGCCAUGACUGAGAGCUGUUACUACGAAGGAAAGCCAUACUCUGUCGGUGAACUUGUUCCACAAGAGAACUGUAGCAUGCUUUGCUUUUGCAAUGGGUACGGGCGUCCCAACCCGUGCUUUCCCAUGUGUCAACGCCGCCGGAUACGACCCUGUGAAGUUGGUGAAGAGUUAUACAGUUAUAACGAAGAGAAUGAGUAUGGCUGCCCGUGUGAAAUGACUGCUUGUCGCGAAAUUAAUGACGACUGAAAGAUGGCACAAACCAACAGCUGAUGCGUAAAUGUAGAGUAGUGGCCAUACAAGUUUGUCCAACGUCGACAAUUGGUUAUGCAAGGGCUUAGCUGAGUUUAUGCAUUGAUGGAUUCGAGUGCCAGCCACAAGAAUUGGAGAGACCUUGUUUCAAAAUAUUGUACUUGAGUGCUUCCAAUAAAGAUGUCGAAAUCGAA
This 1162-nucleotide long non-coding RNA is filed under the name Orbicella faveolata. RNAcentral's name for it is "uncharacterized LOC110066151, transcript variant X2". Lineage: Eukaryota; Metazoa; Cnidaria; Anthozoa; Scleractinia; Merulinidae. The record is from RNAcentral.